UACGUAGGGCGCAAGCGUUGUCCGGAAUUACUGGGCGUAAAGAGUGUGUAGGCGGUGCUCCAAGUCUGGUGUGAAAUCUCCCGGCUUAACUGGGAGGGUGCAUUAGAAACUGGAAUGCUAGAGGAUGGGAGAGGUAAGCGGAAUUCCUGGUGUAGCGGUGAAAUGCGUAGAUAUCAGGAGGAACACCUGUGGUGUAGACAGCUUACUGGACCAUUUCUGACGCUGGGACACGAAAGCGUGGGUAGCAAACAGG
RNAcentral lists this ribosomal RNA (253 nucleotides) under uncultured bacterium. Its description in RNAcentral is "partial 16S ribosomal RNA". It matches the Rfam family "Bacterial small subunit ribosomal RNA", at positions 524 to 776 of the family's 1533-position model. The record is from RNAcentral.